ACAUGCAAGUUGUGCGUCUCUAAGCUAUGGUAGAGACGCGGCGUACGGCUCAGUAACACGUGGCUAACCUACCCUUAGGACGGGGACAACCCCGGGAAACUGGGGCUAAUCCCAGAUAGAUGAGGAGGCCUGGAAUGGUUCCUAGUCAAAAAGACGCUGAAACCAUGCUUUUCGACGUCGCCUAAGGAUGGGGCCGCGCCCGAUCAGGUUGUUGGUGGGGUAACGGCUCACCAAGCCUAUAACCGGUACGGGCCGUGAGAGCGGGAGCCCGGAGAUGGGCACUGAGAUAAGGGCCCAGGCCCUACGGGGCGCAGCAGUCGCGAAAACUCCGCAAUGCGCGAAAGCGUGACGGGGCUACCCCGAGUGCCAUCCGCUGAGGAUGGCUUUUUUCUGGUGUAAUGAGCCGGAGGAAUAAGGAGAGGGCAAGACUGGUGUCAGCCGCCGCGGUAAUACCAGCUCUCCGAGUGGUAGGGAUGAUUAUUGGGCUUAAAGCGUCCGUAGCCGGCUUAGCAAGCCUCCUGUUAAAUUCAGCGACCUAAUCGUUGAGCCGCGGGAGAUACUACUAGGCUAGGAGGCGGGAGAGGCCAACGGUAUUCUCGGGGGUAGGGGUGAAAUCCUAUAAUCCNGGGAGGACCACCAGUGGCGAAGGCUGUUGGCUAGAACGCGCUCGACGGUGAGGGACGAAAGCUGGGGGAGCGAACCGGAUUAGAUACCCGGG
RNAcentral lists this ribosomal RNA (718 nucleotides) under uncultured archaeon. Its description in RNAcentral is "bacterial SSU rRNA". It matches the Rfam family "Archaeal small subunit ribosomal RNA", at positions 49 to 741 of the family's 1478-position model. The record is from RNAcentral.